Molecule: long non-coding RNA, 1832 nt
Organism: Felis catus (domestic cat)
Lineage: Eukaryota; Metazoa; Chordata; Mammalia; Carnivora; Felidae
Exons: 2
Source: RefSeq, a predicted model, not a curated record
AACACUUAAGUAUACAGGAUACCAUUUUCAUGGCUCAGAAAACUCAAUAUUCUGAGGUCAGUUUUCCCUAAUUUGAUCCAGAGAUUCAGUGCAAUUCUAAUCGAAGUCUCUGCAGGCUGUUUGUUUGUAGAUAUUGACAAGCUGAUGAAGAGUUGUAAGCAGCACUCUGAGAACCCUAGAUCUGGAAACGUGAGGGUUGAUUGGCUGAUGAACAAAUUUUGCUUUCUCUCAACGUACUUGGUGUUUCCUGCACACUCGCAGAUCACACCGCACCCACAGAUGAACUUGGGCCAGAGCAACCCUGGCCCCUUGAGAGCAGACACUGGAACCAGUGAACCCAUCACUUGAGAGGUUUUUUUUUUUUUUACCCUGCCCCGGCUCUACAGCUGGAGGGAUUUGGGCCAGACCAGCUCCUCCCCAAAGCCGGCCCUUCUGCGGACCAGGUGAGCGUCAGUGCACCAGAGCGCAAAAGGACUGCAAUCCCCAGGAUGCUCCGCGGCGUUUCCGCCUACACGCGGUUGCCUAGGCGAGCAGCCUCUGACUUGGAAAGAAGUUGGUUCGCUGGGGUUGAUUUAGCUGCGGUCUUGGUGAGAAGGCGGCAGGCUUGGAUCCCGCGGGGAAAGGCUUUGGUAGAGCCCGUCGGAGCAGCUGGGGAGAGACUCCCGCCCAGAUGGGCUCCAAACCGGAACUCCAGAGGGCCCUUCUGAUGUCCCUCAGUCCUCUCCUGACCUUGAGGAUGCCUGUCCCAUUUCAGAGGCGAAGCCACUGAGUCUGAGUCUCGCCGUCUUGGAACAGCUGCCGCGUGUCUGCUUAUCUGGUUCAUGCUUUCUAAUUUUCAGGAAACGCUUAUGGUCUGAGCUAGGACUUCCAGGAAAGUGAAAGAGCAGGAAGAACUGAUGGAAAAUCCACAUGGGGAAAUGCACAAAGGUGAGGAUCCUGAACAGAAGAUUUAAAACACCUCCAGGAUCCAGUGUUUACCAAAUACUCUUUAGGAGCCACACUUAAAACAGGAAUGAGCUGGUCCCACUGGGCCACAUGAUGGACCCAGAGGAGAGUGCUCAUACAGACAUCCCCUGCCUCCUCCACAGCAAGGCAGACUGGCCCACCACAGAAACCCAAUCCACAAUGAACACAGGUGACACUCAGUGAGCUCAGAGACCCUUUACUACCUAAGGCAGGAUCCUAGCCCCAAGAGAAAAAAAAAGUCAAGAUGAAGGAUAAAGAGGAGCUGGAAAAGAAACUUCCAGAGGUUGACAGAUUUUCAAACUCAUUGAAGAUAAUGUGCCCUCUGUGACCAACAUGCCUUGGGACUGGCAUGGGACAGAUAUCAGGAACGGGAGCUAGACUAGACCCAGAGCUGAACCAAGAGAGAAAAGAGGAAAUUGGUGGUCUAGCUCCUUUGAGAAGCACAACGUGGACAAGAAACCCAUGGAAAAGGGUCCAUGGUCUGCCAGGGAGUUGAACAAUUCCAUCCAAAAAAAGUUUGCUGGGUCUUCUGGCUGGGAAGAUGUUGGGGGAGAGGAUCAAGAGGAGUGGCCCCUGGUUGACCCUCCACCAGUACCUGGGCAGUCAAAGCCUUCUCACCUCCUCCCUUGUCCUUGGAAUGUACACCCUGCUUAGUGUCUCCACUGUGGGAGCUGUUCCAAGGACAUAACUUUUGAGAGUAUAAGGUGUUGAGAACAAUUAAAUGGCAUACAAGACUGAACCAAGUUAAAACCUCUCUAUAAACUUUAAACAUUUGUCAGGUGGGUGCAGAGAUCUACUUGUUUUGUGGCCACCUAAAACAAGCCUCUCAUAUAUGUUCCCUUGUUUAUUAAACCUGCUACCUACUA